Molecule: ribosomal RNA, 253 nt
Filed under: uncultured bacterium
Lineage: Bacteria
Description: partial 16S ribosomal RNA
Rfam family: Bacterial small subunit ribosomal RNA
Source: RNAcentral
UACGGGGGGGGCAAGCGUUGUUCGGAAUUACUGGGCGUAAAGGGCUCGUAGGCGGCCAACUAAGUCAUACGUGAAAUCCCUCGGCUUAACCGGGGAACUGCGUCUGAUACUGGAUGGCUUGAGUUUGGGAGAGGGACGCGGAAUUCCAGGUGUAGCGGUGAAAUGCGUAGAUAUCUGGAGGAACACCGGUGGCGAAGGCGGCGUCCUGGACCAACACUGACACUGAGGAGCGAAAGCGUGGGUAGCAAACAGG